GACGAACGCUGGCGGCGUGCCUAACACAUGCAAGUCGAACGGAAAGGCCCUGCUCUUGCGGGUCGCUCGUUUGGCGAACGGGUGAGUAACACGUGUGUAUCCUGCCCCUGUCUUUGUGAUAACUUCACGAAACUGCGGCUCAUAUCGCAUAGAAGCUUUUGCUCCACGUGGGGCGAAGGAAAGAGACGGCGGUUGGGGCUGGACUGGCAGCUUACCGGCUUGCUGGUGAGGUAGUUGCUUACGAAGCUUUUGACGGGUAGCCGGCCUGAGAGGUUGACCAGCCACAAGAGGACUGAGAUACGGCCCAGAAUGCAACGGGAGGCAGUAGUGGGAAAUAUUGCGCAGUGGCGGGAAGCCAGAUACAACGGCGCCGCGUGCGUGAAGACGGCUUACGAGUUGUGAACAGCUUUGGCAUGAGCCGUAGAGUGAGUGACGGUAAUGAGUAAGAAAGCACCGGCUAACUACGUG
This 468-nucleotide ribosomal RNA is filed under the name uncultured bacterium. RNAcentral's name for it is "partial 16S ribosomal RNA". It matches the Rfam family "Bacterial small subunit ribosomal RNA", at positions 28 to 507 of the family's 1533-position model. The record is from RNAcentral.